RNAcentral lists this small RNA (106 nucleotides) under Marmota monax (woodchuck). Lineage: Eukaryota; Metazoa; Chordata; Mammalia; Rodentia; Sciuridae. The record is from RNAcentral.
GCUGGGUGAAGUGGUGCACAUCUGUAAUUCUGGCAACUCGGCAGCUGAGGCAGGUGGAUCAUGAGUUCCAGGCCAGCCUGGGCAACUUAGUGAGACCUUGUCUCAA